This 654-nucleotide ribosomal RNA is filed under the name uncultured Actinomycetes bacterium. RNAcentral describes it as "bacterial SSU rRNA". It matches the Rfam family "Bacterial small subunit ribosomal RNA", at positions 232 to 885 of the family's 1533-position model. The record is from RNAcentral. Lineage: Bacteria; Bacillati; Actinomycetota; Actinomycetes.
CGCGGCCUAUCAGCUUGUUGGCGGGGUAACGGCCCACCAAGGCGAUGACGGGUAACUGGCGUGAGAGCGCGACCAGUCACACCGGGACUGAGACACGGCCCGGACUCCUACGGGAGGCAGCAGUAGGGGAUCUUGGACAAUGGGCGAAAGCCUGAUCCAGCGACGCCGCGUGGGGGACGAAGGCCUUCGGGUUGUAAACCCCUGUUGUUGGGAAAGAAGCCGGCCGCAAGGUCGGUGACGGUACCCAACGAGGAAGCCCCGGCUAACUACGUGCCAGCAGCCGCGGUAAGACGUAGGGGGCGAGCGUUAUCCGGAUUCACUGGGCGUAAAGGGCGCGCAGGCGGCUAUGUAAGUCCGGCGUGAAAUCCCACGGCUCAACCGUGGAACUGCGUCGGAUACUGCAUUGGCUUGAGGAUGGUAGAGGCCAUUAGAACUAGCGGUGUAGCGGUGAAAUGCGCAGAUAUCGCUAGGAAUGCCGGUGGCGAAGGCGGAUGGCUGGGCCACUCCUGACGCUGAGGCGCGAAAGCUAGGGGAGCGAACCGGAUUAGAUACCCUGGUAGUCCACGCCGUAAACGUUGGGCGCUAGGUGUGGGUCCCAUUCCACGGGGUCCGUGCCGCAGCUAACGCAUUAAGCGCCCCGCCUGGGGAGUACGG